UAAGCCUGCAGAGCUCUGGUUCAUAGCGUUGGCCGAACUUGUGCCGGUGAAGCCUUUUGCUUACAGGUUUCUGGAAACCACAAUAGUCCCGUAGCCUGCGUCUCCCAAAGGGAAGAGGGUGGGGUUUCUCCCAGACAGAACGGGGAACACGAGAGUGGACAGGACAUCUGUGCUGUGGACGGUUUUUAGGCCUCUUCCCUGAGAUUGCCCUGGCACCCAGCAGCCUCUUUCUGGCAUUUUCUUCUUCCCAGAUAAAGGCUGUCAGAGUUUCUGAGCAGCAUGGAGGUCCUGGUUUUAUUUCCAGAGUGAAGUUUUAAAGGGCCUUGGCAGCCUAGGUGCUGUGGAGCGGCCGUGGGGCCGGGACAAGGGUCCAGGAGCCUGCACACAGGAGGGACAGAGGGAUGUGACCGGGGAGGGGGGUCCUCUGCUAGAGGGAAUUUCUGAGAGUGACCCCCAGGACCGCACCCCCAGAGAUUGGGUCUCACUAAUCUGGCGCUGAAGGCCAGGUGCCAAUGAGGGCAGAAUUAUAGGGGGACGCGAGAGGGAGGGGAAGUCCCAAUUCAGAUGGUGGGAGAACCCUGACCGUCCUCCAUAGUGACCUGGGGUCGUGAACAGACGUUUGCGAUUGCCUUUAGGGACCCGCCGUCAGGUCUCCGUGGCAGCUGUACUGCCACCGUCCCUGCCAUCCCUCUGCUUCCUCUGGUUUGGGUGUAAGGGCUCUGUCUCCUUCACCUCCCCAGCCCGUCCUUCUGCAUGACCUUCUCGCUGCACGUGUCCUCCAUGAGCCGCUCUGGUGCACUAUCCCCCCCGCCCUCGAGCCAUGUGCUUGUCGUGUCCCAUGGGCCCCUUUGGUCGCUGUGCCCUGAGGUCCCUCAGGGAGGAGAUGGGUCUGAGGGUCUGGCACACGGGGAGCUCCUGGUGCGCAGACACUCUCAGGCAUGUUCCCCACGGGGUGGAAGGUGUUGCUUGGUGCCCACUGGAGCCCAGCCCUGUUCUGAUGUGGCCCCUUCUACAGCCUCCCGGAGCUGGCUCCUACCCCGUCGACCUUUCCCCGGCCUGUGCCUGCUGGGGAGCUGAGCGAGGCCCUGCCGUCCAACCAGGUGCGGUGGUCUGACUGCCAGGUCUCCAGCGAUGUCUUCUGGGUGGCCAAUGUGCUCCUUGAGCUUUCGGGGGGCAACAGGGGCUGAGUUGCCCCCGGGAGCCAGGCCAGCAUCCCAGGGAAGACAGGUGUGGACAUUCGACCGUUCAGUACAAGUUACAGAACCUCAUCCUGAUGAAAAGAGGUUCCCGUGUUCCCUGGGGGCUCUGCUGGGAGGUGUGUGCGUCCCUGGUCUCCGCCGUGUUUAUGCAGUUGUUUGGCAGCUCCCGAUGUUGGAGGAAGCGUUUGAGAAAUGUUUGUGGAUCCCAAGUCGAAGGGGUGUGUUCCACUCAGGCCACGGCAGACGUUAGUGCCACCCCUGAGCAGUUGUGGGCAGGAGACUGUUCCCCUGCCGGCCACCCUCCUGCCCGCCCUGCGCCAGGCCAGACUCCCCCCACCUAACGUGGUGAGUGGGAUGUGGAAGCGUUCUGUCAAUUCUGUGCCUGUGGUGCCUCUCCAAGUGGCGUGGGGUGUCCCAGCAGGGUGGUGGGUGCCUUUCAGUCCACGGCUGUAAUCCGUUAUGUUUGCCACAUGUUCUGUUCAAUUACAUUAAAGUUUCAUGGUCUGGA
Long non-coding RNA from Myotis daubentonii (Daubenton's bat), 1707 nucleotides. RefSeq lists it as uncharacterized. Lineage: Eukaryota; Metazoa; Chordata; Mammalia; Chiroptera; Vespertilionidae. The record is from RefSeq and is a predicted model, not a curated record. The transcript is spliced from 2 exons.